UACGUAGGGGGCAAGCGUUGUCCGGAAUCAUUGGGCGUAAAGAGCGUGUAGGCGGCCAGAUAAGUCCGCUGUGAAAUCUCGAGGCUCAACUUCGAGCUGUCGGUGGAAACUGUCUGGCUAGAGUCCGGAAGAGGAGAAUGGAAUUCCUGGUGUAGCGGUGAAAUGCGCAGAUAUCAGGAAGAACACCCGUGGCGAAGGCAGCUCGCUGGGACGUGACUGACGCUGAGACGCGAAAGCGUGGGGAGCAAACAGG
RNAcentral lists this ribosomal RNA (253 nucleotides) under uncultured bacterium. RNAcentral's name for it is "partial 16S ribosomal RNA". It matches the Rfam family "Bacterial small subunit ribosomal RNA", at positions 524 to 776 of the family's 1533-position model. The record is from RNAcentral.